RNAcentral lists this ribosomal RNA (253 nucleotides) under uncultured bacterium. Its description in RNAcentral is "partial 16S ribosomal RNA". It matches the Rfam family "Bacterial small subunit ribosomal RNA", at positions 524 to 776 of the family's 1533-position model. The record is from RNAcentral.
UACGAAGGGGGCUAGCGUUGCUCGGAAUCACUGGGCGUAAAGCGCACGUAGGCGGCUUACUAAGUCAGGGGUGAAAUCCUGGAGCUCAACUCCAGAACUGCCUUUGAUACUGGUAAGCUCGAGUCCGGAAGAGGUGGGUGGAAUUCCUAGUGUAGAGGUGAAAUUCGUAGAUAUUAGGAAGAACACCGGUGGCGAAGGCGGCCCACUGGUCCGGUACUGACGCUGAGGUGCGAAAGCGUGGGGAGCAAACAGG